AGAGGCAGGGUUUCUCCAUGUUGGUCAGGCUGGUCUCGAACUCCUGACCUCAGGUGAUCCACCCACCUCGGCCUCCCAAAGUGUUCGGAUUACAGGUGUGAGUCACCAUGCUUGGCCAUGCCGGUUGUUUCUGCUGCUUGCUGUGUAGACCGCUGUGAUGACCAUCUUCUUAUUGACCCUCCUUUGUCUCUGGAGCCCCGCCACCUGCCUUCUACCUGGAGCCUUCCUUCCAGGUCCUUCUUCAACAUCAGCUCCAGGAUCUGCAAGAUCUUUGGAUAUGGCCGCUGCAGAAGGAAGGAGAACCACUUCCUGGAGAAGCAGGAGUGAGCCAGGAUCUGCCACACAAGAGAGCCGGGAACCCAGGGCAUGGGUUAAGGCGAGGAGCAGGUCCGGAGGGAAGAUCUGAGGCAAAGAGAGAGCCUGUCACCUGUGCUGCCUUGAGAUGCUGACAUCUGAGGAUGCCCCAGACAGGGCCUGUGGCUGCUUUCUGAAAUAGUGCAGCACCUUCUCUGCU
This 514-nucleotide long non-coding RNA is filed under the name Homo sapiens (human). Its description in RNAcentral is "long non-coding RNA NONHSAT079956.2". Lineage: Eukaryota; Metazoa; Chordata; Mammalia; Primates; Hominidae. The record is from RNAcentral.